RNAcentral lists this unclassified non-coding RNA (247 nucleotides) under Hevea brasiliensis (rubber tree). Lineage: Eukaryota; Viridiplantae; Streptophyta; Magnoliopsida; Malpighiales; Euphorbiaceae. The record is from RNAcentral.
GGCGGGCGUGAUCACCGACCACGCGGUGUUGGCGAGCGCUUCGCCGCCCCUGUCGCUCACGAGCUUCAGCGUGAUGACUGCCGCGCGAUGGGUCACGGUGACAUCGGUCAACUUGCCGGCCUGCACGCGAAUGUCCGAACGCACCACAGAGUUCGCGUCGCCGUAGUUCGAGAUGAUAUAAUAGGUGCCCUCCGGUACCAGCAACACAUCGCCCGCGGCGACGUUCUGCGCGAGCGGUGCACGCUCG